AUCGACUCUAAAAAAGGAAACGUGUUUUAUAAAUUAUAUGAACUAAAAGUCUACGAGCCAGUGUCACAUCCAGUAGUGUCCUGUGUGAACGUGAGCGCUGAUAUCUGCACUCUUCAGUGUUCAGUGACUCUCACGGAGCAGACCACACUGAGCUGGUUCAGAGGAGAGCAGCCUGUGGACAGCAGCAGCUCUGCAGUGCAGCUCCUCACUGUCCAACUGAGGAAAAACACCCCAGAGUACAAAUGUGUGGCUCAAAACCCCGCUGAUGAGAAGAUUGUUAUAGUUGAUAUUAC
Molecule: long non-coding RNA, 293 nt
Organism: Periophthalmus magnuspinnatus
Lineage: Eukaryota; Metazoa; Chordata; Actinopteri; Gobiiformes; Gobiidae
Exons: 2
Source: RefSeq, a predicted model, not a curated record